Molecule: long non-coding RNA, 565 nt
Organism: Homo sapiens (human)
Lineage: Eukaryota; Metazoa; Chordata; Mammalia; Primates; Hominidae
Source: Ensembl
UCGGCUCGCGCACGGUGCGCACACACACUGGCCUGCGCCCACUGUCUGGCACUCCCUAGUGAGAUGAACCCGGUACCUCAGAUGGAAAUGCAGAAAUCACCCGUCUUCUGCGUCGCUCACGCUGGGAGCUGUAGACCGGAGCUGUUCCUAUUCGGCCAUCUUGGCUCCCUCCUCUGCUACUCGGACUUACAGAGACCAAAGCUCCUGAAGUACCAUCAUUCUACCAUGGAUACUGUGAAGUGGUACCACCGUAAAUCCAUGUCCUCUAAUGUCAGCGGACUAUCAGACCCAGUCAGAGAUGGGUGGAGGUGAUCCGUACAUUCCCUACAAAUUUUGGUGCCCAACGUGGGGCAUCCUUCACUGGCUGGAACACUGCUUGCUCGAAACUGCUGCACCUGAAAUCCUGGCCCUCUGACAAAAGGCCAGCAAAGGUAAGAAUUCUUAAUACUGUCAGUCUGCUGGAUCUCUGCCUGUGGAGAAUGGUCAAGGUGAGAGUGGUAAGACUCUUUUCUUCCUCUUUCCCUCUCUAAAUUUAGACUGGCAGGAGAAAAUAUUUAUGUGAACU